Molecule: ribosomal RNA, 448 nt
Filed under: uncultured bacterium
Lineage: Bacteria
Description: bacterial SSU rRNA
Rfam family: Bacterial small subunit ribosomal RNA
Source: RNAcentral
AACGAACGCUGGCGGCAUGCCUAACACAUGCAAGUCGAACGAGACCUUCGGGUCUAGUGGCGCACGGGUGCGUAACGCGUGGGAAUCUGCCCUGGGGUGCGGAAUAACUCGGAGAAAUCCGUGCUAAUACCGCAUAAUGUCUUCGGACCAAAGAUUUAUCGCCCUGGGAUGAGCCCGCGUAGGAUUAGCUAGUUGGUGGGUAAAGGCCUACCAAGGCGACGAUCCUUAGCUGGUCUGAGAGGAUGAUCAGCCACACUGGGACUGAGACACGGCCCAGACUCCUACGGGAGGCAGCAGUGGGGAAUAUUGGACAAUGGGCGAAAGCCUGAUCCAGCAAUGCCGCGUGAGUGAUGAAGGCCCUAGGGUUGUAAAGCUCUUUUACCCGGGAUGAUAAUGACAGUACCGGAGAAUAAGCUCCGGCUAACUCCGUGCCAGCAGCCGCGGUAAU